Molecule: long non-coding RNA, 1455 nt
Organism: Camelina sativa (false flax)
Lineage: Eukaryota; Viridiplantae; Streptophyta; Magnoliopsida; Brassicales; Brassicaceae
Source: RefSeq, a predicted model, not a curated record
UGGUUGUGUUAUAUGAGACUCACAUAAGUAUGUUCUUUUUGUUUCAUGCGUGUUAUUAUGAAUAUCAUUUAAGUUUUUCCAAGAGAAGCACAUUUGUGGCAACUGCAAGUUGAACAUCAGAAAACUAGGGCCAUAUACCAGCGUGGCUCAGUUCUAGUUUAAGUUUUUUUUUCAUGAAAUACCUCCUCACGAUUAUAUCUGCUUAUUAUCCUGCAGGCUGCAGCUAAAGAGAAUUUGUGUAUGUAGUCCCCGAUACUGGCCCCAACGCAUUGAGCUAGUCCCAGAAGAGAAAAAUUGGUGGAGCUUUGGGGACAAGAGUGACCCCUUCAAUUCUGGUGUUAUUUAUGUCAAGAGGAAGGUAGCUAGGAGCUUGUUCGUACGUUGAUGAUACAGUUGGGUGUCAGUCACUGCUUUCACGUGCAAUAUAUAAGGUUUUUGGUUUAAGAAGUCUUGGGGAAUCUAAUAGUCAUAGAGAACUGGAUUCUGAUAGUGUCGAUCACUUGGUCAGCACUUUCUCAUCGGAUCCAAGCCUAAUAGCCUUUGCACAGCUGUGCUGUGACAAAUCUUAGAAUAACACAAAUCUGAUUCUGAAUUCAAGGAGUUCUGUCUGCAAGUUUUUGACUGGAUAAGUAAAGGAUAUAUAGACCAGCUCUUUUGCAGGUUUAUUUAUCUUUGUGUACAACCAUUGGUUCAAUGGCUGAUCUGCUUGUCAAAAGCGAUAGUAACGUGUGUGAUUCACUUUCCAUCUCAUGUUCUCAAGGUUGCUCUUGCCUACAAGGAGGCGGUACGGUAUCAAGUGGAAUAUGUGGCUUUGUACAAUCGAUCUUCAUAGCAUCACUGAGAAAGAGAUGUGAAGAGAUAGAUAUUGAAUUAUCUAACGACAGAAGUAUAUGAUGAGUAUAAGUCGGUUCGGACUGAUGAAUUGAAUUAUGUAGUUUUUGGUUCGAGAUCUCACAAAUUACAAACACAUUGGUAUAAGCCCAUGAAGAUUAAAAUCGGCCCAAACCUAAUCUGAUGUAAUUUGGCCCAUUAGAAUUCUCGUUCAUAUAUAGCAAGUUUUAGGGCAAAAUUGGUAACGGUACGGAUCUUUCCUUUGCUGCUCCUGCUCGUCGUCGUCAAUCUGUGGAAUCGCCUCUCUGUGGAAUCGAACGUCUCUCAGGAUGAGUUUGGAUAUUCAGAGGUGCAGCUGUGAUAACAACAAGUUCAGCAUCUGUUACAAGUGUCCUCGUUGUGUCUCCACAACGAAUCUGGAGAUUUACCGGAGUGAACAGCUGACAAGCACGUGAACCAUGGUUCUCAAUAUCCGGAGGUGAAGGUGACUUGGGAGGAGGAUGCCGGGGCUCAGAUCCACAUCACCUGUAACUGUAGUGAAAAAAAUCGAAUUCAGUGGCAAAGGCAGGUCCGGAUCUAUUCAAGUGAUCUCUCAGUAGGGUUUUUUUUUUUUUUUUUUUUUUU